GCCAGGCACAAUGGCGCACACCUGUAAUCCCAGCAGCUUGGGAGGCUGAGGCAGGAGGAUCAUGAGUUCCAAGGCAGCCUCAGUAACUUAGUGAGGCCCUAAGCAACUCAGCGAGAUCCUGUCUCUA
Molecule: small RNA, 127 nt
Filed under: Marmota monax (woodchuck)
Lineage: Eukaryota; Metazoa; Chordata; Mammalia; Rodentia; Sciuridae
Source: RNAcentral